Long non-coding RNA from Heterocephalus glaber (naked mole-rat), 2283 nucleotides. RefSeq lists it as uncharacterized. NCBI's taxonomy places the organism in Eukaryota, Metazoa, Chordata, Mammalia, Rodentia, Bathyergidae. The record is from RefSeq and is a predicted model, not a curated record.
GCAAAGACAACUCAGGGCAGGUGCUGCAUUAGCUGCAGUCCGGCCAGGUGGAAGUUGGCAAGGAAGCAUCAGAAAGAAGGCAGAGCUGCACAGCCUGGCCGGCCAUGUGCCAUUUGGAUCCUGACUUGGGAGUGGAAGGGGUACUUCAGAGAAGAGCCCCCUGCUGGGAAAGGGAGGGGAGAGUUGCUCCCUUGGCCCAAGGAGACUAGGCUCUGAGCUAUUCUUGCUUCCUCAGAAGUCCUGCAGCACAGUCUCCCGAGGCCUCCAAGUCAUGGAAUUAGAACUGAGGAUAAAUGGGAUAAGUGUGCACACAAGAACCCUGGCCAAGGAACUCCCAGGGGCCAGUGUGGCUCUGGCUGGAGCAUGGGGGGCUUCCUGGAAGGAAAGGGCAGCCUGGUUCACUGAGGACUCCUUGCCAGCACCUCUUCAGAGAAAUGUGGGUCUACUCCCACCAGGGAGCCUCAGGGAACCAGUGUGGGCCACGUUCUCCAUUGGUGCCAGUUCCUCUGUCUCUAAGGGAUGGACGGGGCCCAGCCCACAGUGGUCAGCUCUCACUGUGGGCCAAGGGAGAUGCACUCUGAAAAGGGGCAGCCACGGUAUGAGCCUGGGUGUCACCAUCCCAGGCCUGGGCUCAAAAGGCCCACUUUGCCGUCAGUGUGGUAUGCGUGGCUGGCUGACACUGGCUUCAUGAUAUCUUUAGAUCUUUCUGUGUAAAAUGAGGACAGCACUCCCAUACUGAACUGUGGAGGGCCCUGGAAGGUGACUCAGGAGAGGCCAAACAGUGGGCUGUGCCCCUUCUCCUUUCUGGGAAGCCAUCUCCUGCAGCUCCUGGAAGCUGGCUGGUCCUACUGUAGGGCCUCUCUCCCAAGGCCUGAAGUUGGGGGGGCAAAGUCAGAGAAGGUGUGGUCUCCUGCUAGCCCAAUGGGAAAGCAGACACACUGCACCCAGACAUACUCAGGCACUGGGGGCCCAGACCCAAGGAGAAGGUGAGAAUCAGGUUUACCUGAAGGCCCAGACCCAAGAAGCACCUCCCCGGGUACUACUGCGGUGCCUGCCAAUCCCACAGCCCAGGUGGAUCAGCCUAGAGUCUGUGGCUCCUGUGACUCCUAGGGACUAAGUGCUUGGCUGAUCAAUGGGUGCCUGUGAUAAUCAGAUUACUGGGCACCAGGCUGGUGAUGGAGAAAAGUGAGAGGGGCAUGGUGGGAGGAGCACAGGCAGAAGAAGGGGAUAACCUGCUCACCCUACAGAAGCCUCAGCACCCACACUCUGUUCCCAGUGCAGAGCUGGUCAUUUGUGGGACCCCCUCCUAAGUCUUCUUGCAGAGUGGGUGGUUCUCUUCCAAACAGGCCAGGAGCUUGGGGGCCAGGGUCCCUCGCCUUUUUCCCCUGCAUUUCCCAUGGCCCUGGCAGGGUAAAGGGUGGGGGACUGGCUCCUUCUGUGGCAGGCUCUUGUCAGUGUGAACUCCUGUCAGGCACAGGCUUUCCAAGGCACCUCUCCUCUGCCCUCAGGAGGUUCCUACAGCCUCUCCUCUGAGGUAGCAGUGCCUAUCAGCAAUGGCCUGGAGCAGUGCCAUAUGUACCUCUGCUCCCUGGAUUUCAGCUAGUCGCACUCUUUUCUACAAGUGUCCUUUCUCCAGAGCAGCUGACCCUGUUUGCAGAGAAGGUGCUUUUAGUAAGGUGCCUGGAGGCUCUUACCAUGGACGGUGACCCUGGCGCUGCAGGACACUUGCCCCAAGGCGUUCUCAGCCAGACAGAUGUUCCUCGCUGUCCUGCGCACCCCCACCCCAUCUCAUUGGCUCUUCCACCUCUAUUCACUUUCCCAGCCCUGAAUGAUUGCUAAUGUGAUUCCACCUGGAGUGUCCUAACGUUCUGAGAUACAGAGGCUCUGGAGAGGGGCUUACCAAAUGGAGGAAGAAGCCUUGGCUCCUGGAAGAGAAUGUGGAAAGCUCUUUACCUGUUCAAAAGCAUCUGGAUUGAACCUUCCUUCACUGAGAAAUAAACUUUCUCCACAUUGAAUCACGGCCAUUUGGAGCUUGUCUGUGACAGCAGCUACUGAUAAUUGCCUAGUCAAAUCCGCUCAUUAAAUCCUUCUGACUUGCCUGUGUUAGAGUCCCUUGAAGACUAUGGUCAUUCUCUACUCCCUUAGCAUUUAGCAGGUGGGCCAAAGAGGCCCACCCUUUAGUUACAACCUAGGAUACCCAAGAAGACUUACUCCAUGGGCCUAUCCUGGUCAAGUCAGCAGGAAAAGCCAAGCCAAUCCUUACUCUAGCUUAGACAUCCCAGA